AGGAGUGUAGCUCAAUUGGUAGAGUACGGGUCUCCAAAACCCGGGGUUGUGGGUUCGAGUCCCACCGCUCCUGCCA
RNAcentral lists this transfer RNA (76 nucleotides) under Pelagibacteraceae bacterium TMED233. RNAcentral describes it as "tRNA-Trp". It matches the Rfam family "tRNA". From Rfam's summary of the family: Transfer RNA (tRNA) molecules are approximately 80 nucleotides in length. Their secondary structure includes four short double-helical elements and three loops (D, anti-codon, and T loops). Lineage: Bacteria; Pseudomonadati; Pseudomonadota; Alphaproteobacteria; Candidatus Pelagibacterales; Candidatus Pelagibacteraceae. RNAcentral also lists the same sequence under 2 other names. The record is from RNAcentral.